GUGAAUCAUCAAAUUUUUGAACGCAAAUUGCACUCUCUUCGGAGAGUAUGCCUGUUUGAGGGUCAGCCUAAAAAAAAAAAUCGACAUAGUCGCUUCUUCGCGUUUACUUUCGUUUGAAUUUUUUUUAUCUUAAACUUUUUGUUUUUAAUUGGUUUAAAUUUUUCUUUACUAUUCCACGACAGUUUCUAAGAUUUAUUUCUUUUCCGUUU
Molecule: unclassified non-coding RNA, 209 nt
Filed under: Glomus sp.
Lineage: Eukaryota; Fungi; Glomeromycota; Glomeromycetes; Glomerales; Glomeraceae
Description: partial contains 5.8S ribosomal RNA and internal transcribed spacer 2
Rfam family: 5.8S ribosomal RNA (bases 1-65)
Source: RNAcentral